CCUGACUCCGCGGCUCAGUACAGCCCUGGACACCACAGCAGUGGCAGGUGUGGCGUCUUCAAGUGAAAACUUCCCAGUCGCUGCCCCUUCCGAGGGCCCUGAACGGACUCAGAAGGCGACCCCGGACCGGAGGUGUGCAUGGGGAGAAGCCUGCACCUUCUUCUCUUCCGAGCUGUUCUCAUACACAGCCGUUUCGUACGCCUGCAGGUGUCAGUCUAAGGCGGAAGGGAUCUCGGCCCAGAGGAAGCCUUAGAGCGACUGUAUACCUUACUGUCUGACUCGGGACACUGUUGAGAGGGAAAGGGAGAAACUAAUCAUCACGCCAGGAGAUGUGGACACGGUGACCGUUCUGGGCACUCUGCGAACUGUGAGCUCUAAACUGGAGCAGGUUCGAGUGCUGGGCACGCAUUUGGUUUGUUGAUAACACAAUACUCAGGGACCUGGGGCCCAACAGGCCAAAGAGCUUGGAGAGGGUAAGGCAGGAGCAAUGAGGAUUCAAACUAACCUAAAUGAAUUCAUCUCAAGCUAUCUGUAGGAGGUGCCUCUUUGAGUCUUCUGGCAGACUAACCUCCUUUACAGCUGGAUGGAGCCUUGGGACUAGGUUCUGGACAACUGGAUAUUAACAGAAAUGAUGUGCAAUCUCUAGAUGCCAUUAAAGAAGGAGGCAGCCCUUUCUUUGCCUUUCGUCCUUUCUGCUGGCUGGAAUACAGACAUGCUGGUUGAAGCUGAAGCAGUCAUCUUGCACCAUGAAGUAAAUAUGGGAAAUGGAACUCAACCCAGAAAAGUACAAAACACAAGGAACUCCAAGAGCUAAUCUUGGAUAAGCACAGUUUGCCCACAACUGUGUGAAUCUGAAGUCACCGAAGAGAAGAGGUGAUAGGAUGUCAUGAGUUGAGCAGCUUUUCUUCACUAUGCCCUUCCACCAUGAUGUUUCUGCCUUGAAUCCAGUCAACCAUGGACUGAUACCUCUGAAAC
This 975-nucleotide long non-coding RNA is filed under the name Heterocephalus glaber (naked mole-rat). RNAcentral describes it as "lncRNA (ENSHGLG00000044256.1)". The record is from RNAcentral. Lineage: Eukaryota; Metazoa; Chordata; Mammalia; Rodentia; Bathyergidae.